GACGAACGCUGGCGGCGUGCUUAACACAUGCAAGUCGUACGGUAAGGCCCUUUCGGGGGUCCACGAGUGGCGAACGGGUGAGUAACACGUGAGUAACCUGCCCACAACUUUGGGAUAACGCUAGGAAACUGGUGCUAAUACUGGAUAUGUGCUCCUGCUGCAUGGUGGGGGUUGGAAAGCUCCGGCGGUUAUGGAUGGACUCGCGGCCUAUCAGCUUGUUGGUGGGGUAGUGGCCUACCAAGGCGGCGACGGGUAGCCGGCCUGAGAGGGUGACCGGCCACAUUGGGACUGAGAUACGGCCCAGACUCCUACGGGAGGCAGCAGUGGGGAAGAUUGCACAAUGGGCGCAAGCCUGAUGCAGCAACGCCGCGGGCGGGAUGACGGCCUUCGGGUUGUAAACCGCUUUCAGCAGGGACGAAGCUUUUUGUGACGGUACCUGCAGAAGAAGCACCGGCUAACUACGUG
RNAcentral lists this ribosomal RNA (465 nucleotides) under uncultured bacterium. RNAcentral's name for it is "partial 16S ribosomal RNA". It matches the Rfam family "Bacterial small subunit ribosomal RNA", at positions 28 to 507 of the family's 1533-position model. The record is from RNAcentral.